UACAUCCAUCAUACAAAAUACAAAUACAAAAUUCAAUAUUACAUAAAAAAUUACAUCAACAACUCAAAAUUACAAAACAACCCUAAAAUUCAAAAAAACACAAAUCUGAAAAGCCUUCUGGGUCUGCCUGAACAGUGCUGGGACAGCUGCUAGGUGCGUGAACAGUGCUUGGACAGCGGCGGCGCGUGGGUUCACGCGCCGCCGCGAGAACGCCGGAAAAAAACGGCUGGUCGGAUUCUGCUUCUUCCUCCUUUUCCCUCCCCGCAGACGGUAAGAAACCACAUCAUCUAUAACAAAAACAAACGCACAAACAGUCGAUUUUAAGCUUUUAUUUCUUUGUCUGUUUUUUAUUUUUUCGGAUCUGAUUUUUUUUGUUCUUUAUUUCUUCUCCGAUCUGCUCCUUCCUCUUCAUCUUCAGAUCGUCUUCUUUCGGGUUGAUCACGGUUCGUUGCCCGAGAUUUCAUCCCUGCAGCACAUCGGGUUGUUGGGCACCGUCGGCGCUGGUGGUGGCUGGAUCUCGGUCCGGAUCUGCUACACGGGUUUGAGUUGGAGGAGAACCGGUUGUUGAAGGAACCGUCGAAGAAGAGGUUGCUGAGGGAGAGGCUUCGGCGUUGAUGGAUCAGCCGGGUAGGCUGUGAGAGAUCGGGAAAGAUGGAGACCGAAGGAGGAGCAGCCGUUACUGAUGACGAAGGAGACGCUUCUGCUGGAUGCUUGGGGCUCGAUGGACGCCGGUCUAGCCGCUGGUCUGUGGGCUGGAGGGGACAGAUCGAUGAGGAAGAAGAAGGUGUGGAUCGCCAGUCACGGAUGGACUCAGUGGUGAGGGAAGAAGAAAGUGAUAUGGAGGAACGAUGGGGAAGGGAGGCUGGUUCGGGUGGAAGAAGAGAAAACUGAAAAAUCAAAUGGUGGAGGGGCUGUUUGGCCGGUUCUUUGUGAGGAAGAGGAAAGAAAAAAAAAAGAUGGCCGGGGAAGGAUGGAGAGGCUACAGGAGAAGAUGAGGUCGGCUGAGAAGGAGAAAAAAAAGAAUUCAACGUGGGGGUCGGGGAAGGAUGGAGAGGCUACAGGAGAAGAUGAGGUCGGCUGAGAAGGAGAAAAAAAAGAAUUCAACGUGGGGGCCGGCGGCUGGUUUUCAAGAGAAGAACACUAGGAAAAAAAAUUUAAAACCAGGAGGGAGGCGCCGCCGGCCCCCCUUUUUUAGUGGCUAGAAAGAGUUGGGUUUUAGGGUUUUGGUAUUUUUUCUGAAUGUCAAAAU
Molecule: long non-coding RNA, 1249 nt
Filed under: Populus tremula
Lineage: Eukaryota; Viridiplantae; Streptophyta; Magnoliopsida; Malpighiales; Salicaceae
Description: long non-coding RNA (PTRE_LNC003054)
Source: RNAcentral